This 508-nucleotide long non-coding RNA is filed under the name Dromaius novaehollandiae (emu). Its description in RNAcentral is "lncRNA (ENSDNVG00000016789.1)". The record is from RNAcentral. Lineage: Eukaryota; Metazoa; Chordata; Aves; Casuariiformes; Dromaiidae.
AUGAAGCGAGUCCAUGAGAGGGUCCCAGCCACAGCAGCUGAGAGGAGUUUUACAUCUCAACAUGGCAAUGUGAAGAAAGGAAAAAAAAAUUGUUAUAAGAUUCUAACCAAUUUCAGUCUCUUGAAUUUGCCUCUGCUGGAUGGUUUCAUAUUCACAGAUUCUAGUGGGGGGGUUGGAGCUGCAAGACGAGUGCUGGGCGCACAGAGGCCUGCUGGGUACUCGGAGCUACUGACUCACAUGGAGUCCUGGCAGGACGAAAAUCUCUGCACUGCAGUCUGGCCGAAGUAUCUCACCAGGACAGUGGGAGAAAUGUUUCUCUCAUCAGCCCCUUUGAGAGUGCACACACCAUCCCCUUGUCUUGUGGAGGCAAUCGAUCCUCACAGCACGAAGGCUGGUGCUCAGGGGGGCAGAUGGCUCAUGAGCUGGGAGAAGAAGCUGCGCUUAAUACUCUACUGCGCGUCGGGGGGCUGCAUUUCGUUCUCCGCUCUGCACGCGUGCUGGGUAAGAG